RNAcentral lists this ribosomal RNA (259 nucleotides) under uncultured bacterium. RNAcentral describes it as "partial 16S ribosomal RNA". It matches the Rfam family "Bacterial small subunit ribosomal RNA", at positions 99 to 354 of the family's 1533-position model. The record is from RNAcentral.
CGCACGGGUGAGUAACGCGUAUGCAACCUGCCCGUUUCAGCGGGAUAACCCGGAGAAAUCCGGCCUAAUACCGCAUGUGGCCGAGGGGAGGCAUCUUCUUUCGGCCAAAGGAGGCGACUCCGGAGACGGAUGGGCAUGCGUGACAUUAGCUUGUUGGCGGGGUAACGGCCCACCAAGGCGACGAUGUCUAGGGGUUCUGAGAGGAAGGUCCCCCACACUGGUACUGAGACACGGACCAGACUCCUACGGGAGGCAGCAG